Molecule: long non-coding RNA, 1785 nt
Organism: Lolium perenne
Lineage: Eukaryota; Viridiplantae; Streptophyta; Magnoliopsida; Poales; Poaceae
Source: RefSeq, a predicted model, not a curated record
UCCCACUCUCUCAACCUCUCCGUCUCUCAUCCUCUCAAUCUCUCACUGUGUGAAGAGUCUGUCCCGGCGACGGAGGGGAGGGCACGGAGGUCUCUCCCGGCGAGCCCCGCGAUGGAGAGGAGUGGAAGGCGGCUGAAGGGAGGGCACCGAGGGUCUCUCCCGGCGAGCCCCGCGGUGGAGGGGAGUGGAAGGCGACGGUGGGUCUCUCCCGGCGAGCCCCACGAUGGAGGGGACGUGAAGGCGACAUACUAGUCUGUCCCGGCGACGGAGGGGAGGGUACGGCGACAGAGUGAAGCGGCGGAGGUGGCGUCCACGUAGGGUCUCUCCCGGCGAUAUCCGAGACGGAGGGCCGGGGGCCGCGACGGAGGGAAGUGCGGGGUGGAGGGUACGGCGGCGACGGAGGGCACUUGGCGAGGGGAGGAGCGGCGGCGUUGUUCGAGACCAGCGAGGGGAGAAGCGGAGGCUGCGGCAUCAGACAUGGCCGGCGAGGGGAGGAGAGGUGGCGGCGGUGGGCGGUUUCGGCCACCGGAGCUAGGCGAGGAAGGAGUGGGCGGCGGCCGCGGCGGCUCAACUUCACAUCUCCUGUAAGUAUGUCCUCUCUAAUGCCAUUCAAUAAUGUGAAUUUGCUAGUAUCUGAAUGCGAUUAGAGCAGAGCACAUGAACUCAAUGUGAGCCUAUGUUUCCGUUCUGCUGUGAUGUGCAAAAUUCGUUCGCUCACCCUUCAUAUCAACUACAGUUCAUACUACUACCUGGACGGCACACAUCUUGCCUCUCCACAUCUCAGGACAGUAGACCUUGCAGGUGUAGCCUGACACGGCACCUUUCUUGAUUUCGUCAGUUGCCCGGCAUUGGAGGAUCUAAAGAGGCACGAGUGCGACAUCCGUGUUGAUGAGAUAUCUUCCAGCUCCCUUAAGCAUUUGAGCAUCACCGGUUGUUUCUCUGAUGUCAUAGCCGACUCCAUGUUUCUGCUACGGGCCUUGUUUCGUUGAAACUAGAUGAGUUUGCGAGUAUUACAGCAUUUUUUGGAAACAUGGUGCUGCUAGAGACGACAUGCGUGAAUCUUGUUAGUUACGACCAUGAUAUCUGUAGCAAUUAUCUUGGCGCUGCUGUUUUAUGUGGAGCUGAUAAUGCAUGUCCUAAUUGUCACGAUUUCAGCGGCGGCCUUGUGCUUCUGGGUUAUAUCUCAAGUGCUAGACAUUUGAAGUUGAUAUCUGAAUGCCAGAAUGUAAAUUGGUACUCUUAGAUCCUCUAUGUUAUCCUAUUUUGUGAUGCACUAUCUACAUCAUUGCUGGAUAUAGUAGGCUGUGGUACUAAUCUGACAUGGUAAGAAAAAGUUCAAGAUGGAACUAAGUUUUGACAUAAGUAUGUUGUGCAACAGACAAGGGAGACUGAGCAAGCACUGUGGGUUGGAGAGCCGGAGAAUGAAUCAGCUAAUGAGAAGAAGGCUGCGAGGGAUACUAUGUUUGGAAUGUUCAAAUCGUUGUGGAACCGGGACAUUGCUUGGAGAAGACCAGUGGCUGGGAACCUGUGUUGAUAAGAGAAUUUGUGUUGGGGUUCUUUUUGGCGAUGAUAAAUGUUCUACUUUUAGGGUUGUGUAUAAUUAUACCCUGAUGGGUUUGUCGGAUUAGCUAUUGGCAUCUGUUUGGAACUUUGGAUGCUUUCAUUUCCUCCAAGAAGCUGCUUGCUUGUGGUACUUGUAAGAAAACUAGGGUAGCAUAGCGUCACUCAGUUAUUCUCACUUUAAUCUACAUCUGAAUAGUAUUCAGUUGCAUGUCCUGUUUACAA